Molecule: transfer RNA, 72 nt
Filed under: Capra hircus (goat)
Lineage: Eukaryota; Metazoa; Chordata; Mammalia; Artiodactyla; Bovidae
Also listed under: 1 other name
Rfam family: tRNA
About the family: Transfer RNA (tRNA) molecules are approximately 80 nucleotides in length. Their secondary structure includes four short double-helical elements and three loops (D, anti-codon, and T loops). Further hydrogen bonds mediate the characteristic L-shaped molecular structure. tRNAs have two regions of fundamental functional importance: the anti-codon, which is responsible for specific mRNA codon recognition, and the 3' end, to which the tRNAs corresponding amino acid is attached (by aminoacyl-tRNA synthetases). tRNAs cope with the degeneracy of the genetic code in two manners: having more than one tRNA (with a specific anti-codon) for a particular amino acid; and 'wobble' base-pairing, i.e. permitting non-standard base-pairing at the 3rd anti-codon position.
Source: Rfam by way of RNAcentral
UCCCUGGUGGCUUAGAGGGUAAAGCAUCUGCUUGCAAUGCAGAAGACCCAGGUUUGAUCCCUGGGUCGGGAA